This 498-nucleotide ribosomal RNA is filed under the name uncultured bacterium. RNAcentral's name for it is "partial 16S ribosomal RNA". It matches the Rfam family "Bacterial small subunit ribosomal RNA", at positions 29 to 523 of the family's 1533-position model. The record is from RNAcentral.
AUUGAACGCUGGCGGCAUGCCUUACACAUGCAAGUCGGACGGUAACGCGGGGCAACCUGGCGACGAGUGGCGAACGGGUGAGUAAUGUAUCGGAACGUGCCCAGUUGUGGGGGAUAACUGCUCGAAAGAGCAGCUAAUACCGCAUACGACCUGAGGGUGAAAGCGGGGGAUCGCAAGACCUCGCGCAAUUGGAGCGGCCGAUAUCAGAUUAGGUAGUUGGUGGGGUAAAGGCUCACCAAGCCGACGAUCUGUAGCUGGUCUGAGAGGACGACCAGCCACACUGGGACUGAGACACGGCCCAGACUCCUACGGGAGGCAGCAGUGGGGAAUUUUGGACAAUGGACGCAAGUCUGAUCCAGCCAUGCCGCGUGCGGGAAGAAGGCCUUCGGGUUGUAAACCGCUUUUGUCAGGGAAGAAACGCUCUGGGUUAAUACCUCGGGGUAAUGACGGUACCUGAAGAAUAAGCACCGGCUAACUACGUGCCAGCAGCCGCAGUAA